Molecule: unclassified non-coding RNA, 379 nt
Filed under: uncultured Alphaproteobacteria bacterium
Lineage: Bacteria; Pseudomonadati; Pseudomonadota; Alphaproteobacteria
Description: contains 16S-23S intergenic spacer region
Source: RNAcentral
UCCGGCUUAACGCCGGCGGUUUCCUUAGAGUGCCCAGCCGAACUGAUGGCAACUAAGGACGAGGGUUGCGCUCGUUGCGGGACUUAACCCAACAUCUCACGACACGAGCUGACGACAGCCGUGCAGCACCUGUGCACGGUCCAGCCAAACUGAAGGAAAGCAUCUCUGCGAUCCGCGACCGGCAUGUCAAGGCCUGGUAAGGUUCUUCGCGUUGCCUCGAAUUAAACCACAUGCUCCACCGCUUGUGCGGGUCCCCGUCAAUUCCUUUGAGUUUUAAUCUUGCGACCGUACUCCCCAGGCGGGAUGCUUAAUGCGUUAGCGGCGCCACCGAGCCCUAAGGGCCCGACGGCUAGCAUCCAUCGUUUACGGCGUGGACUAC